GAUCAGACGCGCGUCUGGUGGGUUGCGCCGCGCGAGAUCUCCUCCCCCUUUCCUUCGAUCAUUUUCUUUCUGUUUCCUCCGCUCCUUCUUUCCCACGAUCUGGUGCCUCUUUUCCUCUUUCCUUGCCAAAAAGAAACAACUUCCUCGAUCCCCUGUUCCGCCGCCGUGCGACCACAGCAGCCACAUCAUGGCGGCGCGACGAAGCAGCCCACGCCGGCGCCUCACUGCCGCUCCCCUCUCCCUCUAACCUUGCUCCGCCACCCGCCGCUCGGCGCCUUCCGCUCCGCCCGUCGGCCUUCUCCUCCGUGGAUCUCGGCUGGUCGAUCCUGCCCGUGGGCGCGUGGCUGGACCGCCCGACAUCUCAACUCCGGCGCCAACCGGCUCUGCUCCGGCUCUUCCGCCAUCCUGCUCGCCUGCCCCCGACUGGCUCGCCUGCCUCCCGUGCGACCUAUUACCUCCACAACAACAAAAAUGUUCCUUGAAUUUCUAAAUCAGAAAGAGUGAUGCUCAAUGAGAUUUAGGUCAUGCUAAGACAUCGACAAUCAAUGCCGACAAGCCUCCACUAUCUAUUGUGGAAAUUAACAACUGUGUUGAGCAAUUCGGAAAUGCAGGUACAAAAAGAAAAUUACUCACCACUGAAAUGAGAAAUGUAUGGCUUUGUUCGCAACUGUGCCUGACAAAUAUAGAAAUUCGUAAGAAACUAAUCUCUUCUGCACUAUACAUGAGGCGAUACACAAGCUGAUCUCAUUAGGCGAAAUGCAGGCUGAAUCCUGGCUGAUAUGUGUAUAGUUCAGUGGCGUAGCAUCCUGUUUUUUCCCAAUGUAUUUGACUUGAUACUUCCUCGCGUUUUGUUAGACAUACUUCUGUAGUCCCCUUUGGGUAACGCGGGUGUACACUGAGUGAAAAGCUGACAUGAUCCAGAUAUUGUUUAGUCUUGUGAAAGGCGGUGUGUAUAUUGGUACAGAAAAAGCCUAGAUUGUACUGAUUUUGGCAGGCAAGCAUACAGUUUUUAGGAGUAUACUAACUUGUAGCCUUUGAUCUUUCUUAUGUUGAAAUUACAUUUUCUCUCGUUAA
Aegilops tauschii subsp. strangulata is the source of this 1074-nucleotide long non-coding RNA. RefSeq lists it as uncharacterized. Lineage: Eukaryota; Viridiplantae; Streptophyta; Magnoliopsida; Poales; Poaceae. The record is from RefSeq and is a predicted model, not a curated record.